CGCAUCAAAAGUUGGGUGGGAAAUAGUCCUUCUCCCAAUUUCUGGCCAUACAAAAUGUAGAUUGUAACUGGCUUCUUGUUUUAUAAAUCACAGUAAAUCAUUUUUUUGUAGUCUUUCUUUGGCUUACCGAACGGCGGUUACUAUGUAAGUCAUCCAUUUUUGUCACAACUUUACCACCUAACUUUAAGAAUUCUGGAUCCUUCCCCUGUUUUCUUUCCGAGAAAAAUAGAAAAGAGAAAAACUCCGCUUCACUUCUUUUCUCAGCUACAGAAAAUUCAGGAUUAUGGGAAGUAUAGCGAUUAAUCAUGAGAUGUCCAAGGAGCUGGCUCGGGAGUUAUUGAUCUCGAUUUCUUCUACUUUACCUGAUAACGUUGUGGAUUUGGAUAAAUUUCUUUCAAGUUUUGAGAGGCCUAAUGGGGUCGUUGUUGCGGCAAAAGAUGAUCGAGCUGAAAAAUACAGGUCGGACUUGAUCUCAAUUUCCUAUGCUCAAUCACCUGAUGUUAAAUGACAAUAGCUGAAUUUGGGGAAGAACGAGACUCUGUUGUUUGUGAGUCGUUAUGUUCAUGUAGAAUCCCUGUGAUGUAUUUGUAGAUAAGGUGCGAUGUGUAAAGCGAGCGUGCUAUGGUGUGAUGGCCGUGUGAAUAUUUUUGGUGUUGAUAUUGGGUUAGGUUGUUGUGUCUUUGUGAGUCUAAUUAUUGAAACAUACAUCCCAGUUUGUUGUAUAUAUGUAUACCAUUUCAGUGUGGUUAUAGCGAAAGAUAUUGUGAAUAA
Mangifera indica (mango) is the source of this 771-nucleotide long non-coding RNA. RefSeq lists it as uncharacterized. The transcript has 2 exons. Lineage: Eukaryota; Viridiplantae; Streptophyta; Magnoliopsida; Sapindales; Anacardiaceae. The record is from RefSeq and is a predicted model, not a curated record.